This 1091-nucleotide long non-coding RNA is filed under the name Oryctolagus cuniculus (rabbit). RNAcentral describes it as "lncRNA (ENSOCUG00000031912.1)". Lineage: Eukaryota; Metazoa; Chordata; Mammalia; Lagomorpha; Leporidae. The record is from RNAcentral.
UGGCCCAGGGACCAGAGGCAGAGUCAGAGUGAAGGCCGGGGCUCCCUCGGCUGUGCAGGACGGAGCGGGCUCAGAGGGCAUUGUGACUGUCCAGGGCUCAGCCAAGCUGUUCACAGGUCCCCACACAGCUGUGCACACAUGUGCCUGUACCAGGUCCCCACACAGCUGUGCACACGCGUGCCUGUACCAGGUCCCCACUCAGCUGUGCACACACGUGCCUGUACCAGGUCCCCACACAGCUGUGCACACACGUGCCUGUACCAGGUCCCCACACAGCUGUGCACACGCAUGCCUGUACCAGGUCCCCACACAGCUGUGCACACAUGUGCCUGUACCAGGUCCCCACACAGCUGUGCACACACGUGUGCCUGUACCAGGUCCCCACACAGCUGUGCACACACGUGUGCCUGUACCAGGUCUCCACACAGCUGUGCACACAUGUGCCUGUACCAGGUCCCCACACAGCUGUGCACACACGUGUGCCUGUACCAGGUCCCCACUCAGCUGUGCACACACAUGUGCCUGUACCAGGUCCCCACUCAACCGUGCACACGCGUGCUUGUACCAGGUCCCCACUCAGGAGCCCAGCUGCGGCCCUGCUGGUGGGCCCCCUCAGUGACUCCUGAGCCCAGCACCAUGCUCAGGGAAGCUCCAGCAGCCCCCCUACGGCCCCAGAUGGCCCAGGCCGGCCCCGUGCUUCCCUCCCCAGCCACAGACCUGCACAUGCCCAGUGCUGCAGUGGGGUGUCACCGGAGGCCACCGGGGCGAACCCAGCGGGCCCCGGGGAGCCAGCACCAUUUAUUGGGAGUUUGGCCGUGCACAUGGCUGGCAGCAGGGGAGGUGAGGGGUCCAUGGGGAUUCAGGCUCCCUGUAGGCAGUGGACACGCCUUCCCCAGGAGCCUAACCCAGGAGCCCUCCCCUCCUGGGCCUUGGCCCUGCGAGGUCAGGCUGGGGCUCUGUCCACAAGCCCCUCCCCAAGGUACUCCAGGCCCUCUGUCCAGAGGGAGGAACCCUGUGAACAGCUUGGCUGAGCCCUGGACCAUCAGGUCUCCUGCGGCUAUGCAGUUACCACACUGGGUGUGGAGCCGGGC